Molecule: ribosomal RNA, 475 nt
Filed under: Capitella sp. B ZW-2021
Lineage: Eukaryota; Metazoa; Annelida; Polychaeta; Capitellidae
Description: partial large subunit ribosomal RNA
Rfam family: Bacterial large subunit ribosomal RNA
Source: RNAcentral
GUGAGUUAAUCUUAAAUGGCUGCGGUAAUCUAACCGUACUAAGGUAGCAUAAUAAUUUGCCCUUUAAUUGUGGGCUGGCAUGAAUGGGUAAACGAGAACACAGCUGUCUCUAUUUUAUUAGCUAAAAAUUAGAGUUCAAGUGAAGAUACUUGAAUUUUUUUAAAAGACAAGAAGUCCCCAUAGAGCUUGAGUGGGAACCUGGAGUGAGUCAUAGGAGAUAACUUUGGUUGGGGCGACUAAAAAUCAUCUAAAGCGUUUUUUUGUUUUGGAGAGUGGGGCUCGAUUUAAUGAUCCGUGUGUAGCGAUUAAAUGAAAAAGCUACCUUGGGGAUAACAGGCUAAUUUAUUCAAAGAGUUCACAUUGCUGAAUAAGUUUGGCACCUCGAUGUUGGCUCAGGGUAUCCCAUAGGUGCAGAAGUCUAUGAUGGUAGGUUUGUUCACCCUUUAAAGCCCUACGUGAUCUGAGUCAGACCGGA